CUCCGUAGGGAUCUGCUUCUCUGCUGGUGGAAAGAGAAGCUUCCCUAGGCAUCUCUCUCACACUCGACGCUACCGGGGCGGUUCUGGGACGGCUCCUCAGGCCGCUGCCCGCCCUCUUUUCUCCGAACGUCAGUCAUUUCCUCGAAAUCAAUCCAGGCACGCAGCUGCCCAUUAAAGUUAAUUAAGCACGCGCCCGAGACACCGACAAGAGCGUGCGCCCCGGGCAGAGCCCAGAAUGCCUCCCGGGAAGCCCCUUCCGGAAGCUCCGGCCCAGGGGGGUCACAGUCCGAUUCCGAGGGACCCAGCUGCCCACCGCUGACCUCUCCCGCCCGCCCCCACCCCGAAAUCUCCGCAAUCCUGGGAGACAGCUGCAGCCCCAGCGAGCGAGCCGAGCCCCGCGCAGCCCAGAGCAGGUGCACCUGCAGAGCCUGGCGUUGGCUUUGCGUCGAUUAAACACCUCCUCUUCGCACAAACCCCGGCGCCCCUCGUCCACUGUCUGGACCCAAGGACCCCCUCUCGGGUCGAGGAGGGGCGGACGGCAGCUCGGAACCCACAAGCCUGAGAGUGUCCGCUCGCCCGCAGAAGGCAGCCGCCACCUGCUCUCCAAGGUCCCGCUCCAGCCCCUCCGUCGCGGGUCCCUUACCUUGUGGCCUUUCCCCGGGGGACACCUGACGUUAUUGGAGGCUCCUGCUGUCUGAUUCAUGUCCGGAGGAAGUUGGGGACCGAUUCUCUACCUUCGAAACUUCCUUGGCGCGUGGAGGGUGACAAAGGUGCGCGUCUCCCGGAGGCGAGGUGGGUCCUCCCGCUCCAGCCAAGCCCCGGCGACGUCUCCCCGCGACAGGUUUCCGCGGGGCCCCUGGUCCAGGGAUGCUUAGCCCUGCAGCCCGAGCCGGAGAAAGAGAAGCAGCUGCUGGGACCCCGGAGGGAGCCGGGCCGGCGCCGGCGGCUCCGAGGGCGCUCUGCCCAGGGCUGCCUUCCCGGGAAACAGUCCAGGACUCUCAAGACCAGAAGCGCGAGCAAAUCCGAAAAGAGCUCCGAGGAGGGGCGAGGAGGCAGAAGGCCCAAAUACAGUAAAUCAAGAAAAUGCUGAGAGUAUCUUGUGUCUGCUCUGAGCCUUUCCGUGUGCAUUAUGAGGGGAAGCCUGAAACUCACUGAUAACAGAAACAAGAAUAUUAAUCCAGAAAAGACUAAUACUUUAAUUCAAAAAGACAACAUGCAGCACUAUUUACAAGAGUCAAGACAUGGAAGCAACCUAAAUGUCCAUUGGCGGAGGAAUGGAUAAAGAUGUGGGGCAUAUUCAUAUAUGAUGGAAUAUUACUUAGCUAUAAAAAAGAAAGAAUGCCAUGUGCAGCAGCAUGGAUGCAGCUAGAGAUUAUCGUACUAAGUAAAGUAAGUCAGACAGAGAAAGACACAUACCAUAUGAUAUCACUUAUAUGUGGAAUCUAAAAUAUGACACAAAUGAACUUAUUUACAAAACAAAAACAGACUCACAGACAGAACAGACUUGUGGGUACCAAAGGGGAAAGGGGUAAGGAGGGAUAAGUUAGGAGUUUGGGAUUAGUAGAUAUACACAUUACUAUAUAUAAAACAGACAACAGGACUUUCAUAUACACACACACACUGUACAUACAUGAAACUGAAUCACUUUGCUGUACACCUGAAACUAACACAACAAUGUAUGUCAACUAUAUCUCGGUUUUAAAAUAAAAGAAUAUUAGGAUGCUACA
This 1727-nucleotide long non-coding RNA is filed under the name Sus scrofa (pig). RNAcentral describes it as "lncRNA (ENSSSCG00070016797.1)". The record is from RNAcentral. Lineage: Eukaryota; Metazoa; Chordata; Mammalia; Artiodactyla; Suidae.